This 1029-nucleotide long non-coding RNA is filed under the name Equus asinus (donkey). Its description in RNAcentral is "lncRNA (ENSEASG00005034506.1)". The record is from RNAcentral. Lineage: Eukaryota; Metazoa; Chordata; Mammalia; Perissodactyla; Equidae.
CUCGGGCCGGGCUCCGGGCGGUUCUCGAGCUGCAGUUCCAACGGGACUUCCGCGCUUCGGCGGCCUUUCUGACGAGCCGCCGCGCCCAGAGAUGUUCAGGUUGGAGCGACACUUCCCAGAGGGCAGCGGUCACUCCAGAUCUUCGGCUUCCAUUCCGUGUUCGCGCGGUUCUCCCUCUUUGCAGGCUGCUUGGCUGCAAGAGGGAAGUAGGACAUUGAGCCCUAAAGGAAGAUUUCCAGCCAGGGGGCACCGAGCCAAGCAGCUGUGAGGAGAGAAGAGGAGGAAGCGCCAGGGAGCCCAGAGCCACCAGACAGUGACGCCACAGAGCCACAGCCAUCACACCCGCACAGACACACACCGUCCUCCGCCGUUCAGGCCCGAGAGUCCCGUGAGGACUGGUGUCCCUACUACUGGCCUCCACGCUGUGAGCGCUUCCACUGCCACCCCUCCUGGUUCACGUCGGGCUCCGAAGUGACUCGCUUCACAGGAUUCCCGCAUCCUGUGCUAACACAUCCACAAAUGAGCUCCACUCACCCUGCAAAGAGGGAGAACCGCGCGAAAACGGAAAUGGAAGCCGAAGAUCUGGAGUGACCGCUGCCCUCUGGGAAGUGUCGCUCCAACCUGAACAUCUCUGGGCGCGGCGGCUCGUCCAAAAGGCCGCGGAAGUCCCGUUGGAACUGCAGCUCGAGAACCGCCCGGAGCCCGGCCCGAGCGCAGGUCUCUCCUCCAGGAGCGCGACGCGAGGGCGCGUGCGCGGGCACGGAGCCUGCGCGGAGGCCGCUGGUGCGCCCAGGAGGCCGAGCAGGGGGGUCCGGCGCCGGCUCCGAGCGUCCGGCCUGUGCGCGCAGAGCCGCGGGGGAGGAUCGGCGGGGCGGCCCCGGGGCGAGAGCGCACGGCGGGUGUGAGCUCUGAGGGCGGGCCCCGGGCGAGUCCCCUCAGGCGGCUGCAGCCUGGGGACAGCAUAUGGGGCAAGCAACUCCUGAUCCCGCCGGGGAUGGGCUGGUUUAUUCAGUGUCUGUUAGCUGCGUU